CGAGCGACAGUUAGGAAUACGGCCUAUGGCAAGCCUUGUGGAGUAAUAGACAGUACUUUUAAUUUUUUAUGCCCAUCGUAGUUUCUAUAGCUAAGUGCGUCAUAAACGCGAUAUUUUCCGAAGUUGUAUUUUUAAUUUUGUGGAUUAUAAUGAUGCUAUCGGUCGAGCGUCACCUGGACGAAGUACCGCGUCUCUAGUACGAAUCGAACAUCGAAGCGUCACGCUCCUCCACGUAUCGCUUACACACUUCCCUCUAAGAAUCCUUUGCGUUUCGAGCGCACGGAAGGUCAGUGAAUGCGAAGAGAAGGGUCUCGCACAAUCUCCCUUCUACGGUAACAUCUCCACCAGACGUUGAGCAAAGAAUUGUUUCCAUCUUUCAGCUUUUGGAGAAAGCAGUCCAUCUGCAUUUCCUGACUCAUCAACAUCUUUAAGCGUUCGUGGAGACAGAAUGAAGUCGCAACGACUAGUUAACAAUUCUUCUAAUUGUCCUUCUCGUCUCAUCAACAUCUUCAAACGUUUGUCACG
RNAcentral lists this unclassified non-coding RNA (525 nucleotides) under Bombus terrestris (buff-tailed bumblebee). Its description in RNAcentral is "misc RNA ENSBTSG00005035520.1". Lineage: Eukaryota; Metazoa; Arthropoda; Insecta; Hymenoptera; Apidae. The record is from RNAcentral.